RNAcentral lists this ribosomal RNA (305 nucleotides) under uncultured bacterium. Its description in RNAcentral is "bacterial SSU rRNA". It matches the Rfam family "Bacterial small subunit ribosomal RNA", at positions 333 to 637 of the family's 1533-position model. The record is from RNAcentral.
UUAGCUACGGGGCGCAGCAGUGAGGAAUAUUGGUCAAUGGCCGGAAGGCUGAACCAGCCAAGUCGCGUGAGGGAAUAAGGCCCUAUGGGUCGUAAACCUCUUUUGUCAGGGAGCAAAGGCGUCCACGAGUGGACGAAAGGAGAGUACCUGAAGAAAAAGCAUCGGCUAACUCCGUGCCAGCAGCCGCGGUAAUACGGAGGAUGCGAGCGUUAUCCGGAUUUAUUGGGUUUAAAGGGUGCGUAGGCGGAGUGUCAAGUCAGCGGUAAAAUUUCGGGGCUCAACCCCGGCCCGCCGUUGAAACUGGG